UAGAGUGGCGCUCACGGCCGCGCUUGGCGUAGUAAGUUUCCAGUGCGUGCUGACCCAAUGAGUGUAGGGGGAGGCAGCGGAGGCCCGGUGCGCUGACCUAGAUUGCAUACGGCAUUGCUGGAGGCUAGGGACCGGCCGGGCAGUGCGGGUGUCCCUGGACCGGGGUGUGGAGAAGCAGCGGCAUCCCUAUGGGACCCGCCAGCGUAGAGCAAUGAGACCGGGGUGCCACGUGAGUGGCGGCGUCCGGAGGGUCACGGGCAGUGGGGAGGCUGCCGGCGGCGAGUAGGGUGGCUUUCGCUGAGUGCGGGGGCACCCGGCGGGGCGGGCCCAGUUGCACAGGGUUUCCAGGCCAGGGACCACGUGGGUCUACAUUAGCAGUAGUGGGCCUGGGGCGCCCGGUGCGGUGACUUUCAGCGGUGCCGACCCGACUCAAGAGCUGUCUGUUGUGUGGAGGUCUUGGGGGCCCACACGGGUGGCUUUCAGCAGUUGCUCCGCACUAGUAAACCGGGAGGCAGCAGAGAACCAGAACAUGGCAGCGAGCAGCAGAGCCUACCCAGUAGUACAAAAGUCACUGAAUCGCAAGCAGGCUUUCCUCCCACAGCCAGGAACAAACACUCUAAGAGUGGCAGAGCUACAGGGGGUCAUGGCAUGAAACUGUGAGAUGGACACAAUUUCAGAUCUGUACCUGCAUCAGGGACCUGUUGUGCCAGGCAUUUGCUGCAUAGUCUCCUGCUGCCUCCUGGUCCAGUGGUUGCAGGCAAGUCUUGCCUUGUGUGUAAUUAAUUAGUCAGCACUUGUGGCAGAGUGAGAAGGAAAGUCAAGAGCUGUCAGCACGUGGGUGUACUUCCUCCUUCUGGCAGAAAUACUCAAAGAAGAGGAGAAAGAAAUGGGAGAUUUUCCCGGUUUGUGUCUGCACAUUUGCAGAGUCCUAGUGCAGUGACAUUUUCCCUUUGUUUGUAGCUUUCCCUGUUGUUUUAGAGUUGAGGGUGUAGCUUGCUCCUGCCAGACCCUUUUUGUAGUUUGUAGCCCCCUCUCCCCAGUGGUUUGAUGCCUUCUUCAUCACUCAACUCAUCUGUCAUGUUCUUUUCCUUCCCUGAAGCUUUUCCUGCUUCCCUACAACAUUGCCAAGUGCUGGAAAGAGGAAGAACGGCCUCCAACAAAACCCUGUACCUGUAAUGAACACUGGCAAAGUACUACUUCUCUUUCAGGUUAAGAGAAGAGCUCAAGUGUUAAAGGCUUAGAUGCAUGACACAGAUACCUUUCCCUCCUUCAUUUUGAGAUGACAGGCCUGUCUGUUCCAACCCCAAAGGCACAGAAGGUACUCUUUAAACUGUACCACAACAUCCCACCCACACUCCCCUCUCCUAUCCCCAUCCUCACCAUGACAUGAGAGACCCACAGAGGCAUCAGGGCCAGGAGAGCUCUGAAGGAGUGCUGUACAUGUGUGAACCACUGUGCACAGCUCUGUGCUUGUGAGUAUGCACAAGUUCUGCAAGUGUAAACAUAGCUCUGUGUGAGACAUAUAUUAAUAUGUAUAGCACUGCAUACAUUGGUGUGCUCAAACUCUACGUACAAGCAAGUCUUGUGCUUGUAGGCACAUGUGCAUCAGUAGAGACUACAUAAGUGAGUGUAUAACACAUGUGCUGUUGUAGCAAGUUGAGUGUACACAAGUGUGUGCUGCUAACAAGUACCGUAGUACACAAGAGCUCUGUACAAGUGAGCAGGUACAUGUGUGUAUGUACACUAGCUCUGCACAUGUCUGUGUACACACAUGGGUUAGGCACGUCCAGAGACAUAGCUCUAGAUACACGGCUCUGUCCAUCCAACUGCUGUCUCACCUAGAAAAACAGAUGUGUGUGUAUAUAUGUGUGUGUGUGUGUCACUACCUAGCUCUCUGUAUGUUGUGGUGUGAAGUUAUAUCCUGUCCCUCAGCUGUGACUACUUCCUCCUUCCUUUUCCCCUGCCCUCUUCCUAAUUGCUGUCUGUCAAGUUCCACAUUCCAGCAAGGGCAUCGUGUGAUUGGCAGAAGUUCAAAAGAUGCUUCUCAGACCUGGGGUCAUUGGCCUGUUCAGGUGUCAUUGUCCCCUGAGACCCUCCCCCUCCCACCUGGUUGGUGGCUCACCUGUCCUUUCCCUCCCCCCUCCCUGUGGGUUUAAAAGGCGCUGGAACCAUGCAGUCAGUAUUCUGUUGGAGCUGUUGCAAAGAUUCAGAACUCUUGUGACCCUGGAAUAAACUCUAGAUUUAACCCUCUGGCAGAAUCCGCUCUUUUCUCUUCACCAUCGCCUGAACUUUUCCACUAGAGGUAAACCGAGUUUCUACUUUGUUUGGACUCAUUCUGAGUGCCUAACUCCCAGCCAGCCAAGGGUGUCUCUGAGGUGAAAACCACAGCUGCUACCUUUGAGCACUAAUGCUGGACAAGCCCAGGCACGCUCCAUCUGUAUACACCCUGUUCUUAUUAGGAAAAGAAUUUGCCUCUACGUAUAAGUUUGUCAAAAGUUUAUGUAAAGUCAUAUACAGUGAUUUCCAUCAAAUUUAAUAAUGUUUAAGUUUCCAUUAAAUCUCUAUAAACAAGAGUAUCUACAAUCGCUGUUACCCACUGCUAUUCUAACCCACGUUCCCUAUGUAGUAUAUAGUAGAGAUAAUUCAUGCUGUAUAUGUAUAUAAAAUAUUGUGAGAUCCAACUUAUGUCUUUUACCACCCUGGCUGGGAGCAGAGUCUUAUUUCUAUUCAAUUAGUUCCUGGACAUCGUUAAGAUAAUAUCAAGUCCAUUAACGUAAGAAUGAAACCUUCUUGGGCCAUGAGUGCCGAUUUCCCAGGAAUGUCUGAGCUGUUCACGAGAACUUGCACCUGGGGAGAUCUCAUCUACCAACUCAAGCACCGGCACUACUCCAUUACAUGUGAAAGAAGGCUAUUCUGAAGAAGUCCAGACAGCCAUCCGGACCUCUGGACUGGCUUUUGUACCCUUCUGCAUCUGUAUGGUCCCUGUUAUACAUGUGAAGGGACACAAAAGAACCUUCUGUCAUUUCUGCCUCAUGCAGAAUAAAUGGGAUAUAAGCUAGCGGCAUGAAGCAGUUGGGGUGAACCGCUAAGGAGAUGCUGGCACUCUGUCAGUCGGAUCCAGGUUCACGCAGCACCGACUUCCGGGGUUGACGCUGCCUUGGCUGUGGUGGUUUUUUUUUUUGAAAUUC
Long non-coding RNA from Serinus canaria (Common canary), 3188 nucleotides. RefSeq lists it as uncharacterized. The transcript has 3 exons. The record is from RefSeq and is a predicted model, not a curated record. Lineage: Eukaryota; Metazoa; Chordata; Aves; Passeriformes; Fringillidae.